Molecule: ribosomal RNA, 695 nt
Filed under: Cladophialophora sp.
Lineage: Eukaryota; Fungi; Ascomycota; Eurotiomycetes; Chaetothyriales; Herpotrichiellaceae
Description: partial large subunit ribosomal RNA
Rfam family: Eukaryotic large subunit ribosomal RNA
Source: RNAcentral
UACCUCAGUAACGGCGAGUGAAGCGGUAAUAGCUCAAAUUUGAAAUCUGGCCUCUCGGGGUCCGAGUUGUAAUUUGUAGAGGAUGUUUUGGGUACCGCCCCGGUCUAAAUUUCUUGGAACAGAAUGUCAAAGAGGGUGAGAAUCCCGUCUUGGACCGGCGGUAGGGCCUGUGUAAAACUCCUUCGACGAGUCGAGUUGUUUGGGAAUGCAGCUCAAAAUGGGUGGUAAAUUUCAUCUAAAGCUAAAUAUUGGCCAGAGACCGAUAGCGCACAAGUAGAGUGAUCGAAAGAUGAAAAGCACUUUGAAAAGAGAGUUAAACAGUAUGUGAAAUUGUUGAAAGGGAAGCGCUUGCAACCAGACUUGAGCGCGGCGGUUCCCCCGGUCUUUUGGCCGGGCUACUCCGUCGUGUCCAGGCCAACAUCGGUUCUGAGGGUCGGUCAAAGGCCUUGGGAAUGUAUCUACCCACGGGUAGACUUAUAGACCAGGGUGUCAUGCGGCCUCUCGGGACCGAGGAACGCGCUUCGGCUCGGAUGUUGGCGUAAUGGUUGUCAGCGACCCGUCUUGAAACACGGACCAAGGAGUCUAACAUCUAUGCGAGUGUUUGGGUGUCAAACCCGGAACGCGAAAUGAAAGUGAACGGAGGUAGGAAGCUUCGGCUGCACUAUCGACCGAUCCUGAAGUUUACGGAUGGAUUU